AAGAGAGACAAAGAAGAGAGGAGGCAGAAGAAUAGAGAGAAGAAGGGUUAGUGAUAGAGAGGGAGAUAGGACUGGUUUUUUCUGGCUCUCUUCUUAGUUCACUCUUCUCACAGUAGCAGAAACCAUAAUUUUUUAACCCAUGUCCCUUUUUUAUUUUCUUUUGUUAUAUCCGGUCUUGGAGCUGUUGUUUUUUGGCAAAAUUUGGAAGAGGAGAUGGCAACAACCAGGAAUGUAGUGCCCCUAAACAGAGUGUGAAUUCUCUGAAAUUUGAGUUUUGGAGCUGUUGUUUUUUGGCAAAAGUUGGAAGAGGAGAUGGCAACAAUCGAGAAUAUAGUGCCCUUAAUCAGAGAAUUCUUUUAUAACAAGAAACCUCUCCCUCUGAUCAACUGGUCAGUUACAAGGUCAGUUAAGAACCCAUUCAUAUUUAUUUCUUGUAGAAUCACCUCUCUCUCCCCCCUUUCCUUAAGAAGUGGAUUCUCUCUCUCUCUCUCUUUAAAUCUCAAAUUGCGUUUCUCUUUUGGUUUUCAAGAGUUUUGGAGCUUCUGACCAAUGCACAGGGAGCUGUUACAGCCAAUAAGGUAAAUGAACAGACUUCCCCCCCCCCCCUCCCUCCUUUUGAUUAUUUUCCUCUCACUGGCCAAUGAACAGGUGGUUGUUGCAGCCCAUAAGGUAAAUGAACAGAUGCCCCCUAACCUUUUUUAUUAUUUUCCUCUCAAUUCUUACCAUUUGAAUCAUUAACUCCCUUGUGAAUGAUUUUUCCUUCCAUAUACAAUUUUCUAGACAGUAAUAAAAUCAAGCAUUAAAGAAGGAGAUUGUUUCUUCUGGCUAUCACCUCUAAUCAGAUAAGCCUAGGCGAAAUUCCAUAUUACUUUGUAUGGAAUUAAGCAUAAGAAUGGGUUUCUUCUUUUGAUGAAAGGUAUGCUAA
Non-coding RNA from Amborella trichopoda, 925 nucleotides. The record is from RefSeq and is a predicted model, not a curated record. Lineage: Eukaryota; Viridiplantae; Streptophyta; Magnoliopsida; Amborellales; Amborellaceae.